RNAcentral lists this ribosomal RNA (914 nucleotides) under uncultured archaeon. Its description in RNAcentral is "bacterial SSU rRNA". It matches the Rfam family "Archaeal small subunit ribosomal RNA", at positions 1 to 922 of the family's 1478-position model. The record is from RNAcentral.
UUCCGGUUGAUCCUGCCAGACCUGACUGCUAUCGGAUUGAUACUAAGCCAUGUGAGUCAUUGUAGCAAUACAAGGCAGACGGCUCAGUAACACGUAGUCAAUCUACCCUAUGGACGGGGAUAACCUCGGGAAACUGAGGAUAACACCCGAUAGAUCAUAAUUCCUGGAAUGGUUUAUGGUCCAAAUGAUUCGUCGCCGUAGGAUGGGACUGCGGCCUAUCAGCUUGUUGGUGAGGUAAUGGCCCACCAAGGCUAUUACAGGUACGGGCUCUGUGAGGAGAAGCCCGGAGAUGGGUACUGAGACACGGACCCAGGCCCUAUGGGGCGCAGCAGGCGAGAAACCUUUGCAAUGUGCGCAAGCACGACAAGGUUAAUCCGAGUGUUUCCUGCUAAAGGAAUCUUUUGUUAGUUGUAAAACCACUAUCGAAUAAGGGGUGGGCAAGUUCUGGUGUCAGCCGCCGCGGUAAAACCAGCACCUCAAGUGGUCAGGAGGAUUAUUGGGCCUAAAGCAUCCGUAGCCUGUUCUAUAAGUUUCCGGUUAAAUCCACUAGCUCAACUAGUGGGCUGCCGAAAAUACUGUAGAACUAGGGAGUGGGAGAGGUAGACGGUAUUCGGUAGGAAGGGGUAAAAUCCUUUGAUCUAUUGAGGACCACCUGUGGCGAAGGCGGUCUACCAGAACACGUUCGACGGUGAGGGAUGAAAGCUGGGGGAGCAAACCGGAUUAGAUACCCGGGUAGUCCCAGCUGUAAACGAUGCAGACUCGGUGAUGCCCUGGCUUGUGGCCAGUGCAGUGCCGCAGGGAAGCCGUUAAGUUUGCCGCCUGGGAAGUACGUACGCAAGUAUGAAACUUAAAGGAAUUGGCGGGGGAGCACCACAAGGGGUGAAGCCUGCGGUUCAAUUGGAUUCAACGCCGGG